AGUGAACGCUGGCGGUAGGCCUAACACGUGCAAGUCGAACGGCAGCACAGUAAGAGCUUGCUCUUACGGGUGGCGAGUGGCGGACGGGUGAGGAAUACAUCGGAAUCUACUUUUUCGUGGGGGAUAACGUAGGGAAACUUACGCUAAUACCGCAUACGACCUACGGGUGAAAGCAGGGGAUCUUCGGACCUUGCGCGAUUGAAUGAGCCGAUGUCAGAUUAGCUAGUUGGCGGGGUAAAGGCCCACCAAGGCGACGAUCCGUAGCUGGUCUGAGAGGAUGAUCAGCCACACUGGAACUGAGACACGGUCCAGACUCCUACGGGAGGCAGCAGUGGGGAAUAUUGGACAAUGGGCGCAAGCCUGAUCCAGCCAUACCGCGUGGGUGAAGAAGGCCUUCGGGUUGUAAAGCCCUUUUGUUGGGAAAGAAAAGCAGCAGGUUAAUACCCCGCUGUUCUGACGGUACCCAAAGAAUAAGCACCGGCUAACUUCGUG
This 492-nucleotide ribosomal RNA is filed under the name uncultured bacterium. RNAcentral describes it as "partial 16S ribosomal RNA". It matches the Rfam family "Bacterial small subunit ribosomal RNA", at positions 29 to 507 of the family's 1533-position model. The record is from RNAcentral.